RNAcentral lists this ribosomal RNA (433 nucleotides) under uncultured bacterium. RNAcentral describes it as "partial 16S ribosomal RNA". It matches the Rfam family "Bacterial small subunit ribosomal RNA", at positions 29 to 507 of the family's 1533-position model. The record is from RNAcentral.
AGCGAACGCUGGCGGCAGGCUUAACACAUGCAAGUCGAGCGGGCCCUUCGGGGUCAGCGGCGGACGGGUGAGUAACGCGUGGGAACGUGCCUUCUGGUCUGGAAUAACCCUGGGAAACUAGGGCUAAUACCGGAUACGCCCUUUUGGGGAAAGGUUUACUGCCGGACGAUCGGCCCGCGUCUGAUUAGCUAGUUGGUGGGGUAACGGCCUACCAAGGCGACGAUCAGUAGCUGGUCUGAGAGGAUGAUCAGCCACACUGGGACUGAGACACGGCCCAGACUCCUACGGGAGGUAGCAGUGGGGAAUAUUGGACAAUGGGCGCAAGCCUGAUCCAGCCAUGCCGCGUGAGUGAUGAAGGCCUUAGGGUUGUAAAGCUCUUUUAUCCGGGACGAUAAUGACGGUACCGGAGGAAUAAGCCCCGGCUAACUUCGUG